This 74-nucleotide transfer RNA is filed under the name Caudoviricetes sp. RNAcentral describes it as "tRNA-Gly". It matches the Rfam family "tRNA". From Rfam's summary of the family: Transfer RNA (tRNA) molecules are approximately 80 nucleotides in length. Their secondary structure includes four short double-helical elements and three loops (D, anti-codon, and T loops). RNAcentral also lists the same sequence under 1 other name. Lineage: Duplodnaviria; Heunggongvirae; Uroviricota; Caudoviricetes. The record is from RNAcentral.
GCCCAUGUGGUCCAGCGGCAGGACACUGGCUUCCCACGCCGGAAGGGCGGGUUCGACCCCCGUCAUGGGCUCCA